UUUAAGACGUUUGUUUUAUUGAUCAUCUCUUGAUUAUGUGCCAGUUUAAAGCUCAGUGUUUCAUAAUUCAUAUGCCGUCACUUUUUCUUACAUUCUGAGUAUUGCAGUGAUUGCUAAAUUUGAUUUAUAAUCUGAUUUAAUCAAAAGUCAGUAAGACGAAAAUCUUCUGAAGAAAGUGUUUUCCUUUUCUUUCACUCUCAGAAAUAAAAGGUACAAAAGUUGACACUGAGAUGGCACCUUUUCAAAAGGAUAAUGGAAGAACUGCAUGAGCCGGUGAACAAGGGAGGAUUUGGAGGACAUCCAGUCCGUGCCUGCUGAACUGAUUCGACUGGAGCUCUGCAAAACAUCCCGGCCUGAGCUGUCCACCUUAUUCACGUUGUGAUUCAGCUGAAUGGCAUUCAGGAGCAGAUGGCAGUAAUUAAGCAUUUGUCAGUUUGAUCCAUGAUAUACUCAUGCAUGAGUGCUUUACAUUGGCAGAAAAAUACUCAUCCUCAGGCCAGCCGAGAUGUAGAAUACAGAUUGUGUCAAAAAGCAGCUUUACAGUGUUAAACAGGAAAAUAGUUUGACAAUAAUGGAAGAAGACAUUAACAAACAGUCAAAUAUUUAGCUAAAGUCAAUUCAUUGAUGAUUCAGUGAUGUCAUCAUCCAGUUCAGUUCUCUUCCAAUAGAAGAAUGAAACCGACUAAUGUUAGCGUAGAUGCCAUUCUUUUUAUGAUGAGGUAUCUAGUACAUUGGAUGUUAUGGGAAGUUGUCCUAAUUAACGAAAGCCUAACAAUCCUUUAAUGGAUUUGAAUUAUAGAAAUGUGUUAGUGUGUUUUAUGAAUGCCAGGUUAAAGAGGUUAAAAAAUUGGGUCUUUAAUCUUUUUUUUUUUUUUUGGUCUAGAAUGAAUAAAGCCAUCGUUGUUUUUCUAAAAGAAGAGUCGAUGGUAGAUGAUUUGGUUGAGCGUGGUUUAAUUGUGGGGAAUGCUUUCGUGUCAGAAAAAAAAAAAUGUGUGUAUGUUCUCCAAUAUGGUGCACAAUAGUAUUUUUGUUUGAGCAACCCAAGUUCAAAUCCGGUUCUGGUAAUCUCUGAUCCUGCAUCUCUGUACUUUUCCUGUCAUUGAUUUACUAUUCAAUAAGGAACCCAAAUAAAAUUCAAAAUAUAGUUCCUGUUUUUCUCACUUCACCAGAUGUGAGUAAAAAAUA
This is a long non-coding RNA of Carassius gibelio (silver crucian carp), 1185 nucleotides long. RefSeq lists it as uncharacterized. NCBI's taxonomy places the organism in Eukaryota, Metazoa, Chordata, Actinopteri, Cypriniformes, Cyprinidae. The transcript is spliced from 2 exons. The record is from RefSeq and is a predicted model, not a curated record.